This 115-nucleotide ribosomal RNA is filed under the name Oryzias latipes (Japanese medaka). Lineage: Eukaryota; Metazoa; Chordata; Actinopteri; Beloniformes; Adrianichthyidae. The record is from RNAcentral.
UACUGGGGGUUUUCCUUUUGCCACCCUUGACAUCAAAUCUCAGCAGCUCAGCCAGAUUGGGCCUGAUAAAUUUUAGGAUGGGAGAUCUUCUGGGACUAUCAGGUGCCUUAAAGAC